AUACAUGCAAGUCGAGCGGACAGAUGGGAGCUUGCUCCCUGAUGUUAGCGGCGGACGGGUGAGUAACACGUGGGUAACCUGCCUGUAAGACUGGGAUAACUCCGGGAAACCGGGGCUAAUACCGGAUGGUUGUUUGAACCGCAUGGUUCAAACAUAAAAGGUGGCUUCGGCUACCACUUACAGAUGGACCCGCGGCGCAUUAGCUAGUUGGUGAGGUAACGGCUCACCAAGGCAACGAUGCGUAGCCGACCUGAGAGGGUGAUCGGCCACACUGGGACUGAGACACGGCCCAGACUCCUACGGGAGGCAGCAGUAGGGAAUCUUCCGCAAUGGACGAAAGUCUGACGGAGCAACGCCGCGUGAGUGAUGAAGGUUUUCGGAUCGUAAAGCUCUGUUGUUAGGGAAGAACAAGUACCGUUCGAAUAGGGCGGUACCUUGACGGUACCUAACCAGAAAGCCACGGCUAACUACGUGCCAGCAGCCGCGGUAAUACGUAGGUGGCAAGCGUUGUCCGGAAUUAUUGGGCGUAAAGGGCUCGCAGGCGGUUUCUUAAGUCUGAUGUGAAAGCCCCCGGCUCAACCGGGGAGGGUCAUUGGAAACUGGGGAACUUGAGUGCAGAAGAGGAGAGUGGAAUUCCACGUGUAGCGGUGAAAUGCGUAGAGAUGUGGAGGAACACCAGUGGCGAAGGCGACUCUCUGGUCUGUAACUGACGCUGAGGAGCGAAAGCGUGGGGAGCGAACAGGAUUAGAUACCCUGGUAGUCCACGCCGUAAACGAUGAGUGCUAAGUGUUAGGGGGUUUCCGCCCCUUAGUGCUGCAGCUAACGCAUUAAGCACUCCGCCUGGGGAGUACGGUCGCAAGACUGAAACUCAAAGGAAUUGACGGGGGCCCGCACAAGCGGUGGAGCAUGUGGUUUA
Molecule: ribosomal RNA, 916 nt
Filed under: Bacillus subtilis
Lineage: Bacteria; Bacillati; Bacillota; Bacilli; Caryophanales; Bacillaceae
Description: bacterial SSU rRNA
Rfam family: Bacterial small subunit ribosomal RNA
Source: RNAcentral